RNAcentral lists this ribosomal RNA (101 nucleotides) under Staphylococcus aureus. The record is from RNAcentral. Lineage: Bacteria; Bacillati; Bacillota; Bacilli; Caryophanales; Staphylococcaceae.
CUAGGAGAUACACCUGUACCCAUGCCGAACACAGAAGUUAAGCCCUAGAACGCCGGAAGUAGUUGGGGGUUGCCCCCUGUGAGAUAGGGAAGUCGCUAAUC